AACUGCGCCUCAGGCGGCGGCUGGCUCAACGCGGAAGUGUUCGCGAUGGACGGCACGGGCUCCGGGCGCCCGGCGUUGCAAUUUGCUCCCUUCAGUAGCGCUUUGGACGCAGGUUUCUGGCAUGAGCUCACUCAGAGGAAACUGAACGACUACAGACUGGACGAGAGUCCCCGAAAUAUCAGGGGCUAUUACUAUAACGGUGAUCCUGCUGGACUGCCAACUCGACUAACUUUGGAGUUCAGUGCAUUUGAUGUGAAUGCUGUGACGCCACCUCGGUGUUGCCCUGCUUUUGGCACUCUGUAUAAUACCAACACCUUGCAGUCAUUUAAAUCCACUGAUAAAAAGGCUUUGCUGGAGCAAGUGGGAAAAGAGAUUUGGGAUGCUAUAAAAUCUGGCAGAGCAAUUGAAGAUCCUUCUUUGCUGAACACUUUUCUCUUGCUGACUUUUGCAGAUUUAAAAAGAUACCAUUUCUACUACUGGUUCGCGUUUCCAGCACUGUGUUUCGUUGAAGGGAUACCCAUAUCCCAACAACCAGUCAGCUUGGCGGAAAAGUUCUCCACAUGUCAGAUCCAGGCAUUACAAGAUGCUUACAAUAAGCUUUGUCAAAAGGAGGAAGUUACAGCAGUUCCCUAUUUUCUGGUCAAGUACAAGGAAGAUUCUGUUUCGUUGGCCUCUUUGAGAAACUGGAAUGAAUUUUUCAAAGGUCAGACCAAGGUUACAAUUGGUGUCUAUGAUCCAUGUACAUUAAUGCAAUAUCCAGGGUGGCCUUUGAGAAACCUCCUGAUGCUUGUAGCCUACAACUGGGGCAGCUUUCUGGACACACUUGAAGUUCUCUGUUUCAGAGACCGAACUAUGCAAGGAGCCAGGGACACCCAGCACAGCAUCAUCUUUGAAGUAAAACUUCCACAGAUAGCGUCAGUCUCAGAUUGUCCAAAGUGUGUUGGUUGGGAGAAAAAUCAGAAAGGAAGCCUCGGUCCACGGAUGGUCAAUCUUAGUGAAUGUAUGGAUCCAAAGAGACUGGCUGAAUCAUCGGUUGAUCUCAAUCUUAAAUUAAUGCGUUGGCGUCUGGUACCAACCCUUGGCCUGGAAAAUGUUAUGACUACUCGGUGCUUGUUGCUUGGAGCUGGUACACUGGGCUGUAAUGUAGCACGGACUCUAAUGGGCUGGGGCGUAAGGCAGAUAACGUUUGUAGACAAUGCAAAGGUGUCCUAUUCUAACCCAGUGCGGCAGUCGUUGUAUGAGUUUGAAGAUUGUUUUGAUGGCGGGAAACCCAAAGCACUAGCUGCUGUAGAGAAACUCCAAAAAAUCUUCCCAGGCGUGAAAGUUGAAGGCUUUAACCUAAGCAUACCGAUGCCAGGUCACCCAGUGAAUUUUUCUGCAGUGACAACGCAACAGGCUCAGAAAGAUGUUGAACAGCUGGAGAAACUCAUUUGCUCACAUGAUGUCAUUUUCCUGCUAAUGGACACACGGGAGAGUCGCUGGCUCCCCACAGUCAUUGCAGCCAGUCAACGAAAGUUAGUCAUUAAUGCGGCUUUGGGUUUUGAUACUUUUGUCGUAAUGAGACACGGCUUGAAAAGGCCGAAGCAGGAAUCCGGAGAACCAGCUGCAGUCGCUGCUACUGUCAAUUCUUCCUUGGCAGGCUCUUCACUCUUUUCGAACAUUCCUGGCCACAAACUAGGCUGCUACUUCUGUAAUGACGUUGUAGCACCUGGAGAUUCAACUAGAGACCGUACUCUAGACCAGCAGUGCACUGUGAGUCGUCCUGGUUUAGCCAUGAUCGCUGGAGCACUGGCAGUGGAAUUGAUGGUUUCUAUACUGCAACAUGCUGAAGGUGGAUAUGCAGUAGCCAGCAGCAGUGAUGACCGGCUGAAUGAGCCUCCGACAUCCCUUGGACUUGUCCCUCAUCAGAUCCGUGGCUUUUUGUCAAGAUUUGACAAUGUCCUACCAGCAAGUUUAGCAUUUGACAAGUGCACAGCAUGUUCACCAGUGGUCCUUGAUCACUUUGAAAAAGAAGGUUUCCAGUUCCUUGCAAAUGUAUUCAACUCAUCUCAUUCUUUCCUGGAAGAUCUUACAGGACUGACUCUUCUCCAUCAAGAGACACAGGCUGCUGAGGUAUAACUCCAAACCGGGGAGUGUUUCCUUUUGAUUCCCAUGGACUGUAGUUUUGGUACAUUUCCUUGAAUCUGAAAAAAGCUGUGAAAAAGGUGACCGCAGAGAUGGAGGAUAUAUUGGCUGUCGCAAUAGAGCAACCACACGACAUCUACCUACAAUGUGGAAAAUUGUUCAGAUAUGGGAUAUGAGUGAUGAUGAAAGUUUCUGAAGAACAGUCUGUAACCUGAAAGGAAGAUGCAAAUUGAAGAACCUAUCCAAGACCUCUUUCCAGCUUUUCAGAAUCCUGAAGUGCAAAAACAGCUGCCCUGAGCAGGUCACAGAUUCUUUGUGAUUUUCAUUAUGGCAUUCAGCCUAAUUGAGAAGCAUUGUGUCUUUAAAUAAAUAUUAUCUCCUAAUGUCUUUUUGGAGUCAAAAACAUGCAAAUGUUCCUGGCCCUUUCAUCCAGAUCACAGUUCUGGUGUUUAUGAUGUUAGCAUUAAUGAUAACAGCAAUAAUCCAAAAGUCUCUAAACCGAAUACAUGUGUUCGGUUAUGUAUAUAUAAUUACAUAUCAGUCUGAGUAAGAAUGUUUCAUAUAAAACACAUUGCUCAAACACAAAACAUUUUAUUGAAGUUGUUUCUCUUUUUAGGGGUCCACUAUCUCCAAUCAUUUUUGACUCUAGCUUCCUAAAAGUGUUAUUUUAAAAUCAGUUUCAGUAUAGACGAGUUUAUAUGCUAUGAACUUUAAAUAUGAAAUUUAUCAUUUGAGCUACUGACUCCACUUCCAUUUAAAAUGUUCCUUUGUACUGAACUGAAGUCUGUUUCCUGUCCGCCUGUUCAUUGUGUAUCUGAAGCAUCUGUAUCGUGUACAUGCUGCUGUAAUCUGCUUGCAACACUUGCUACCUUUGACACAAUUAAAAAUGAUUUAACUGA
Stegostoma tigrinum is the source of this 3023-nucleotide RNA transcript. It is a transcript of the gene named ATG7 autophagy related 7 homolog (S. cerevisiae), with no coding region annotated. The record is from RefSeq and is a predicted model, not a curated record. NCBI's taxonomy places the organism in Eukaryota, Metazoa, Chordata, Chondrichthyes, Orectolobiformes, Stegostomatidae. The transcript has 20 exons.